Molecule: ribosomal RNA, 443 nt
Filed under: uncultured bacterium
Lineage: Bacteria
Description: partial 16S ribosomal RNA
Rfam family: Bacterial small subunit ribosomal RNA
Source: RNAcentral
CCUACGGGAGGCAGCAGUGGGGAAUAUUGGGCAAUGGGCGCAAGCCUGACCCAGCAACGCCGCGUGAAGGAAGAAGGCUUUCGGGUUGUAAACUUCUUUUCACAGGGACGAAGCAAGUGACGGUACCUGAGUAAUAAGCCACGGCUAACUACGUGCCAGCAGCCGCGGUAAUACGUAGGUGGCAAGCGUUAUCCGGAUUUACGGGGUGUAAAGGGAGUGUAGGCGGGAAAGCAAGUCAGAUGUGAAAACCAUGGGCUCAACCUGUUGACUGCAUUUGAAACUGUUUUUCUUGAGUACUGGAGAGGCAGGCGGAAUUCCUGGUGUAGCGGUGAAAUGCGUAGAUAUUAGGAGGAACACCAGUGGCGAAGGCGGUCUGCUGGACUGCAACUGACGCUGAGGCGCGAAAGCGUGGGGAGCAAACAGGAUUAGAUACCCUAGUAGUC